CGUGGAGCGCCCUUUACCUCUCGCUUUUUAUCCCGGUUUUGCAUGUCGGUUGCUGCAGCCCUGGGGAGGCGGAUGAGUAAUGGAAACUAAGCGCAAACGCUUUAGCCAAAAGGUUUCAGAUCGAUAAAUUAAGAUGUUUAUCUAGCCCAUCACUUUGAGGAGGGUACACAAAGGGAAAAAGGAACCAGUCCCACCCCGAUGAGCAAGAUUUGACUGAUGUCCCUGUCAGGUGAGACCAUUUUAAGUUGGUAGGCUUAUCCAAUAAAAUGAGUUUCAGGUGACCUGCACAAACGAAACUAGAUUGGAGAAAUGAAACAGCUGAAACAACACCCCUCCCCCAGUAGAAAAGUCAGUUUUUAUAUCAUUUCCCUAGAGGAUGCUAUCAUUAGCCGAGUUAGAUCCUUCAGUUUCAGUUCAUUGCAAUACAAACAAAAGGCCUUUAGUAUUAGACAGGAAGAAAGACAAUAAGGAAGAGGCUUAAAGCUUCUGAUUUGCCAUGGCAAGUGCUUUCGAAAAUAGGAAUGAGACCUAGCCUAGGAGAAAUAGGAAGAACCACUAGGAAGAAUGAAUGAAAGGAAGAAGAUCGCAGCUGGAACCAGGGUACCAGGCACAUCACACAUUUGCGCACAUGGUACCAGGAAGACUUCUUGUCCCAGACCUAGUCUAUUGUGCUCACCGAUCCCUGGGAUUCCACAUUUAGAACUUUAUUCCUGGGUCUUGAAACCAAAGGGACUUUGACCCUGAAGGAAGUUACCGCUGUUUUAUUGUUUAUACUGCCGUGAGGGUGUAUUUUUUUCCUAUCUUCUCUGAAGAGGAAGUUUUAAGAGAGAGGAAACAUGAUCAUCUGGUUUCCCAAGGGUAAUGUGGUACAAAAGGACAAAAGGAAAACUAGACAAAUUCCCAUCUUCUUAAUCUUGCUCCUAGCCAGUCUUGUUCACUCAGAAAAUCCUAAAAUGAAGGAAAACAGUAGGUUUGGUAAGUUUGUACCAAGCUUGGGGGCCUAGAUGCCAAGAGGCAGCCGUUUUGGAUCCUUUAGAACUCUGAAAGCACAGCAAAAAAUCAACUUUCCAAAUCUUCACUCCCAGUCCAAAGGAAUAAAAAGAGCAACAUAAAUAAUCCACAUGAAUAUUGCAAAUUUGAAGAGGAUUUGGCGAUGGUUACGCUUUAAGGAAAAUUAUCAACAUGGAACUGAAUUAGCAGUAAGUUACCAUGCAAAUAUUUUUUAAAGCAGGUUCAUUUGUUUAACUGGUUAAACUUAAUAAACUCAUUUUUAAAGUUCAUUUAAAAUGUCAUCACAAGAGAGCAUGUUUCCAAUCUUGCCUAGAUAUUCCAAGACAAUUAAUAAUGAGACCCAUUUCACACCUGACGUUUAUGAAACCAAUCAAAUACAUCUUUUAAAAUCAAGAUAAUUUGGUUUAGCUUAACAAAUAUUGCUUAUCUUCAUUUAUUAAGUUUGACAGCAGGAAUGCAACUAAAUUCUAAACAUUAGGGAAGACAAUAAAUGAAUUGUCAAAACAAGAGUCGCUUGUAGGGAUUUCCGGAUUUUCCCUGCACUAUUUCUAAGUACAGCUCAAAUUACGUUUUUUCUAGAAUAAGUCACUUUUGCACUUUUCACAGAAUCCCGUACACCACCUCUUGUUACCAUUUCACAUCUGUAGGGCAGUUCUAGGUAUUCCCUACUGUUUUUUGAGGGAUGGUUCUGGCAGUGCCCAAUAAUUAAGAACCCACUAUGCUUGGCUUGCUUCCUUACAGGUGAUCUCACCUACAGCUUCCAAGGAUAUCCUCACACUCAGGUUUCAUUCCAAUUACAGCGACAGUUGCUUUCUCUAGGGAAUUAGUUUUCAGUGUCUUUCUUCCCACCCUAAAUACAUGAAGAUGUAUAAUUUAAAAUGUGUUGGUUAAUUAGAUAUGAUGACUUCUUUUAACCCUGUAUAGCCCUGCAAGGUAAAUAUGAUGAUGCCCAUUUCACAGAUGAAGAAAUCAAGGUGGUUACAGAGCAUGUGGCAGACCCAGGACUCCAGUGCAAACAGUGUGGCUCCGGAGGCUAUGCUCUUAGCCCUUACAUUACCUUGCCUCUUAUUUUUGUGAGGUUAUCUAUAUUAGUUUCUCUGCAAAAGUUGGUAAUUUAAAAAAAAAUCUGUAGAACCUUAAACUGGUGGCUUUUCAGUCUAUAAAUGUGGCAGGUCAAUGGAAAUUUUAAAUGGAAUAAAGCAUAGAAUAAAAACGUUUCAAGAUACU
Molecule: long non-coding RNA, 2238 nt
Organism: Herpailurus yagouaroundi (jaguarundi)
Lineage: Eukaryota; Metazoa; Chordata; Mammalia; Carnivora; Felidae
Exons: 2
Source: RefSeq, a predicted model, not a curated record